UUGGUUUAAUAGUAACCCACCCUCAUAGUUGUGUGCUAGAGUCUCACUGUGGCUGUAGUUUGCAUUUUCCUAAUAACUAGUGAUGCUGACCAUCUUCCAAUGUGAUGGUAGCCAUUUGCAUAGCAUUCUUAGAUAAAUGUCUGUUCACGCCUUUUGUCCAUUUUUAUUAUGCUAUUUCCUUUUUGUUGUUGAUUAUUCUUGAUAUGAAAUCCUGAUCAGAUCAAUGAUUUGCAAGUAUUUUCUUCCAUUCAGAAAAUUGCCAUUUUACUCUGUCAACAAUAGUAAAAUUUGGGCUGGGAAUAUGGC
Molecule: long non-coding RNA, 306 nt
Organism: Perognathus longimembris pacificus (Pacific pocket mouse)
Lineage: Eukaryota; Metazoa; Chordata; Mammalia; Rodentia; Heteromyidae
Exons: 3
Source: RefSeq, a predicted model, not a curated record